GGAGGAUUGGCCGAGUGGUAAGGCACCGGCUUGCUAAGCCGUGGUCGGGCCGAAAGCCCGCGCACGUUCGAUCCGUGCAUCCUCCG
RNAcentral lists this transfer RNA (86 nucleotides) under Streptomyces thermogriseus. RNAcentral's name for it is "tRNA-Ser". It matches the Rfam family "tRNA". From Rfam's summary of the family: Transfer RNA (tRNA) molecules are approximately 80 nucleotides in length. Lineage: Bacteria; Bacillati; Actinomycetota; Actinomycetes; Kitasatosporales; Streptomycetaceae. The record is from RNAcentral. RNAcentral also lists the same sequence under 2 other names.